AGGAUAAUAGUUAAUUAUAACAUUUAGUUUGCAUCUAAAAAGUAUUGAUCCAAUCAAUUUAUCUU
This 65-nucleotide transfer RNA is filed under the name Dytiscus sharpi. RNAcentral describes it as "tRNA-Ala". It matches the Rfam family "tRNA". Rfam says of the family: Transfer RNA (tRNA) molecules are approximately 80 nucleotides in length. The record is from RNAcentral. Lineage: Eukaryota; Metazoa; Arthropoda; Insecta; Coleoptera; Dytiscidae.